UUUCAUAUGUAGGUCUGUGGAAGUCACAGAGGUAUAUGGGAAGAAUACAUUGCUAUCCCAAACAACACACACACACACUCUAAUCAAAUGUUUGUCUGCAAUAAGAAGCAAGAAUGAAUGAUCCAAAUAAGAGCAUUAAACAAAGACCUGAGGGUCAUUAAGGCUUCAGGCCUUUGAACUAACUAGAUAAACAGAAGCCUCGUCAGCAGUCAGGGCUAGAUUUUCUUUCUGCUGUAGGAUGUGUUCUGUGCAGGGUUUGGAGAGCAAGCACCUCCUUCUCUCCACACCCUUAUUUAAACAGGCUUGUAAAAGCUGGGGAAGAGAGCACAAAGCCUAAUGUCACUGAUAUUGCUGGCAAUACUGAUGUCAUGUUGGCUGUAUCUACAUAGCCCUGUUUCUAAAACAAUAGACUUGCAUUGUGUGCUGUCAUGGCUGGCUCUUCUCUUUCAUUCCCUUUAUUAUGUUUUUGAAGUGACUUUGAUGUGUAAAUGCAAAGGAACACAUGAAGGAGGGUGAGGGGUGGUGAUGAGUGCCCUGUAGGCUGCAGGUUGUUUGUCCAUCAGACACAAUCACACUCUGCUUUAGAAAACUGUCAAAGCCACCAGCAAGGCUCUAAAAGACUUUUUUUUUUAAAUCGUGAAUACACAUGAGCCACUUCACAGAUUGUAUUUGUAAUUAAUAGAAGGCCUAAGGUAUUCUUUCUCUAAUUCUAAAAGAUGUGCAGACACAAAGACAUUUCUUGAAAUUGUCAUAGCAGUUUGUCUCAAACCACUCAAGGACACAGUUUCAACUCCUAGUGAAAGCAACAGAGUCAGCUGCAGGUCAAAUGGCCACAUGAUAUUUCAGAAGAGCCGGUUUAGGAGUUCCCGUCAUGGCGCAGUGGAAAUGAAUCUGACUAGGAACCAUGAGGCUGUGGGUUCAAUCCCUGGCCUCGCUCAAUGGGUUAAGGGUCUGCCAUUGCUGUUACCUGUGGUGAAGGCCGCAGAUUCAGCUCUCAGCUCGGAUUCUGCAUUGCUGUGCCUUGUGGUAUAGGCUGGCAGCUGUAGCUCCGACUUGACCCUAGCCUGGGAACCUCCAUAGGCCACAGGUGUGGCCCUAAAACAAACAAACAAACAAAAAAAAAGACCCAGGCUAAAAACUCCAGGAUGAGGAAGUAGACGUGCACAGAGUGCCAGCAUCUUGGCUGCUGCCUUCAAAUUUUUAUAUAUGCUCACAUUUACCCCUCAUACCAUCACUGGAAAGGAGCAUAUCAUUUAGAUUCUCAUGACUUGACCAAAGAUGCUUAAAUAGGGUAGUGGUAUAUUUCUUUCCCAUACAGAGUUGUUGGAAAGAGUCCAAUCAAGUAUGAAGGCUCCAUAAAGUCAGUGGGGGUCAAAGGCUCCUUCUAUCUUUAUCCUUUUGUCUCCCUAGCAUAUCCUAAAGGCCAAAAGAUAGCUACUAGAGCUCCAGCUAUUAUAGCUGCAUCCCUGGUAGGAAUAGUGAAAGAGCAAGAUGGCAAAAAGAGCUUCUUCAAGUUCCAUUUUGUGACUAUUACCUGUAAUCUCUUAGCUGCCAUCAUUGUCAUUCCGCUGAAAAAAUCAUGUUCUCUAUCCAAACAAGAGUGGAGAAGGAUAUUAAAUAAAUUAGCAGUCUCUGGCCAGACAAGAAUAAGUAUUUCAAUUAAAAACUGAGUUUCCAUGAGAUAAAGGACCCAAACCUAAGUCAUCAUCAACCCAGAAAAUGGUGACAAUUUUCUGUGAGAAAAUAAGUAUGUGAACCACCAAGGUCAGAGCUUGAACCUAAGCAGGGACUAAGGUUGGUUCAAGCUCAUCUGUCAUGGGUUUAAUGGGUUGAAUUGCAUAAGCAGGUUAGAAUUGAAGUGUUUUGAUGGAAUGAACAGAAAAGUCAGUGUAUGCAGAGAAUGUGGCCCUGAGAAGGGCUAUGUGGAAAAGGGAUGUGAAGGAGAACUAUCACCUGCCUGGGGUAUCUUUUCCCCAGAAUAGCUCCAUGAACACAUAACCACCCCUCACGUCAUAAAGGGAGUUGACCAAAGAUAAGGAGGAAUUCUGAAUGCUAAGUUGCUUUGCCUCUGUCAACAUGGAGUGGGAAAGAAGGUGCCUAACCAACGUUUUUGAAAAUGCAGUGUGCCUUGAGCUCAGGGAGACCUUCAGGGAUGUCAGCAAUUUGUCCAGGGUUUGCAGUUUUUAGGGAGGUGUGUUCUUGCUUAGGGGGAACUAUCAUCAUGAACCUUGGAAAUGUAAGGUCUGUGUGAAGAUGCUUGAGGGUGUAAUCACACCAUUCCAUGCUCCACGUUGGCCACCAGUUGAUGGAUGUGUUUAUAGCCAGCUUUCCAUGCCCAAAUCCUAACUGAACUUUGAAGUAAGAGAUUAUUUCUAGGGCUGGCAAACACAUCCAAGACUAUUGACCACAGUCGAAUAUAAGGUUUCAUGGGAUGCUUGAAUCCUCAAACUGGUCAGCCUUAUGCUAACCCACAGCAUGCCUGCUCCCUGGGGAUGCUUUGCAUGGAGUGGAGCUGGGAGAACCCUAGGCUUACAGUUUGAUUUUUGUGUACUCAAAUCUCCUUCUCUCUUAUACUCUUAAACCCAUAAUUCUAAAAGAGUUUUCUAUGGCCAUAAUUAACAAUUUCCUAAUGAGGAUUUUCUUUUAAUUAUCAGGGAAAAGGCAUUUCUUAAUUAAUAGAAAGGAGGAUUUGUUUCAUCCAGCUUAAUUAUUGCUGGGAAUGUGUCCCAAGCCCACCAGGCAGAAGGUAUUUAGAGUGAGCAUAUUGGCAACAAAGUUAAACAGCUUGGGGUUUGGUCCUAAUAAGGUGGACCACAGUAAUGAAGUUGGGUGUUAUGCAUAGGUAAUCUUCAGGGGGUCCAGGAAUUCAUAAGGCUUGAUACAAUCUCUUCCAUAACUUUAUCCACUUUCCAGUAGGGUUUCUGGUGGUAGACAUGUGUAAGCAAUAGUCUCAGGGGUCGCUGUCAUCCCAACAGUACAACACGUACUUGCUUUCACUGCAAGGUGGUACAGUCACCUGUCGUUAUGAGAGUCAGAUGUGUUGCCAAGGGAGCCGAAGCCCUGAGUUGAAAAAACACCUGGACUCCUGCAACCAGCUUUCUCUUUCCACUUAUUACUACAGAAUAUUCAGUCUUCAUAUCACCUCUUUCCUUUCAUCCAUCUCUACCACUCAUGAUUCACAUUUUCCAGCUCACCCUAACCACCACUUCCCUUCCUGUCUCACAAAGUUGCCCACAGUGAUGUCUGGAAUUGCACCUUUAUGUUUAACAAGUGUGCUUCUACUUUCAUUCUCAGCCAUUUUUCUGAGUGUUUGCCCCAUCCCCCACCCCUUCCUGAAACCUGUCAGCUAUUGACACACCUUCUCCAGGAAGAGCUGAUUUUCAUUUGUUCUUCAUGCCCCUCCUGGUCUGAAAGUGAGUUUGGUUUGGUGUCCCACUGAUUCCCCACUGCCCUUCUAAUAGCAUCUACUCUUUAAGUUCUUGAGGAAUGAAAUAGUAUUCCCUGAGACACAUUAUAACACAAUGGCUCCAGUCUUGAUUAUUGUCAUCUAUUGACUUUUUCAAACCUCAUCUUUAUUAAAUGGUGGCAUUCCUCCAGUUCCACACCAUGGCCUUGACAGCCUCAUAUCCAAAAAUUGUUUCUGUCACCCUAUCAUAUCCAUCCACUGCCAUGAUCAUGCCUCAGACAUAACUGUCUCCUCUAUACUAAUCCAGUAGAUCUGCUCUCAAAAUCCUCAUCUCCUCCUGACUAGCUUGUUCAAUAUUCCUUGAUCUGCUCUUAUUAACCUCAUAAGCAUCUCUAAUAUCUUGAUCCCUCCCUUUUUAUACUGGGCCAGCAGCCCUAAUAUUUUCAUUUCCUUCCUUAUUCUGCUUCGAUUGUUGGCCCAUCAAUACAGUAAUGCCAGUCCCUUCUCACAUCGCAGAGUAUAAAGAAUAUUUCCAAGUCCUGAUCUUACUUGAAAUCUCAACACUAUUUAAUCUUGUUGCAUCCACCCUCUCCCUCUGUUGACUUUCCUUUCCUCUGGACACUAGUGGUGGAUUGGAUUGCACUCUGCUUUCUUUCCUCUUGUUCCCUGGCUGCUUCUUUACAGUCACCUUUGCAAGCUCAGCUGCUGCUUCUCAGACAUGAGAUGUUAGAGUCCUUCCACAUCCCCUCUCAGGUCCUUUCCUAAUAUCACCCUGUACCCUCUUCUCUGGCAACAUUCUUUUACCACCUCUGUGCCCAAGACUUCCAUAUCUUUAACUAGAGUUCUGUCUCUCUAUACUUGUGUAACUUCUUCCUGUGAAUGUCUCAAGGGCACAUGAAAUUCACCUUGCUGAUGACUGAAAUCUCAAGGAUCCCAUUUAACUUGGUUAUCUUCCAGUGGUCAGUCCUCAAGCUAACACCCUAUCCUCAACAAAUUCCAUAAGGUAAAAGCCUAAGCCUUCUCUUUGACACUACUCUCUCCCUUAUUCACAAUUUUAAAAAUUUGAUUUCCAGUCUGUCAGACCCAUCCACUUCCUUUCAUCUUUGUUUGCAGCAUGAUAGAGUUACCAUUUAUAAUUUUGUGGACUAGCACUGAAGAAUUUCCAGUCCGGUACUGCCAUGUGUUUAGUCCUUUGCACCUCUUCUCCUCUGUAACUAGUGUUCUGUUUAAACUACAAGAACUUCUCUCUCCACCAUUAAAACCCAUCAGUGGCUUCUGGUUACUCAACUUGCUUUUCUACAGGCAAACAAUGCCACCUCUCCUUAUUCUUAAAACUCUAGCCAUUUGUUCACUCUUACUUUUACUUGAGUAUGCUAACAAAUAUGUGUGAAUUGGCUUAACCCAUCCAUGGUACAUAAUAAAUAUGUAGUUUAGUGGGGCUCUUGCAAAUCCUAUAAAAACUUUUAUGCAAUAGUGAUUCUAAAUAGACAUUUUUCCAUUGCUUUGAGGAUCAGUGGCACUAAAUUAAAGUGUAAAGUGACUUGUGUGCUUUUGACUCGAGUCUACAACAGAAUCUCCUGGCCUCUGUCCAGGUUCCUCACUUCAGGUUCUAGUACUGACAGAAAAAUGAGGGACAGCAGGCCUUUGAACUCAGGAGUUGUCAAAGCAUAGCCUUAGGCCCAGUGGAAGCUGGCAGGCUUGUGAGAUGACUCACAUGGCCAGUUCCUCCCUAUGUGGCACACAGAUUUUUGUCUUUCUACAAAAGCACGCAGUAGCCUCGAGGAAGUGUGAAGAUUCUGAAUUUAAACAAUACCCAAAAGUGGCCCUUUAAUGCCUCAGGUCCAUGGCGGACCUGAAGAACAAUGUCCUCACCACAAGGGGCAGGACCGAUGAUCUGAAGCUAAAGUUGCUUUCCAGCUGUGGUUUUUCAACAGUAGAGGGCUCAGCCCAUGGAGUCCACAGACUCUAACAAGAUCUUUAGCACAGUGCCCAAAAUGCUUUAACUCUAAUCACCACUCACUGGGAGUCAAGGCUUGCUUUUGUCUAACUCAUAGGCUGAGAGAAUGAGAAUCUCAAAAGGAG
This 5488-nucleotide long non-coding RNA is filed under the name Sus scrofa (pig). RNAcentral describes it as "lncRNA (ENSSSCG00050001329.1)". Lineage: Eukaryota; Metazoa; Chordata; Mammalia; Artiodactyla; Suidae. The record is from RNAcentral.